Molecule: long non-coding RNA, 720 nt
Organism: Magnolia sinica
Lineage: Eukaryota; Viridiplantae; Streptophyta; Magnoliopsida; Magnoliales; Magnoliaceae
Exons: 2
Source: RefSeq, a predicted model, not a curated record
CUUCAAACUCUUCAAAGUUGGGAUGGUAGUUUGUUGGUGUAGACUAUGGUUAUUUGGAACGGGAUGAGCGUUUGGUUUUUGGGUGGGGAAUGGGAUGAGGGCUCAGUUUUUGAAGGAUUUCUGGUUAGGGGAGUGUAAGCUGCAAGAUCAGUUCCCGAAUUUGGCCUGCAAGGUGGUGGAUUUGGAUAUCACCGUGAAUGGAUGUUUUGUGCUUGAAGGGUCCCAAGGGAUGUGGCUUCCUCCAUUUUGCAGAAAUCUACGGAUGUUGAAGCUGAAGAGUUUCUUUCAUUGCUAUAUCUUGUCAGACAGAUUUGCUAGGCUUCAACGGAUUCAAUGCUCAUUGGGCCCAUGACCAGCCUUAUUCAUUGUGCCUGGUGGUAGUCCUUCCUUGGCCACCGCGAUGUUUUCUACACAAGGGCAAUGAGAGGAAUUUCAGCCUCAAGCGCACCAGUUUGAUCUACUCCCAGGAUUCAGGUCUAAGCAUAGUUGUCCAAGCGACCACAUUGCAUCAUUUGAUAACAUCUCCAGUGAAAGAGAAGGCCUGAGCAAGGAUGAUAACAUUCGCAGCAUAAAAAGAAAAAAAAAACUAAGAUAAAUGAGUGUCACCUUUUCUUUUCUUCUCUCUCUCUGCUUUUUUUUGUCUUGCUGACGAAAAAGAUUUGCUCUAUGGCUACGGGUUAUCGGUAGCCAUGAGUUCUAUAGCAACCGAUUUAAUUCGUA